Molecule: ribosomal RNA, 734 nt
Filed under: Aquabacterium sp. MG68
Lineage: Bacteria; Pseudomonadati; Pseudomonadota; Betaproteobacteria; Burkholderiales; Sphaerotilaceae
Description: bacterial SSU rRNA
Rfam family: Bacterial small subunit ribosomal RNA
Source: RNAcentral
CGAGUGGCGAACGGGUGAGUAAUAUAUCGGAACGUGCCCAGUAGUGGGGGAUAGCCCGGCGAAAGCCGGAUUAAUACCGCAUACGACCUGUGGGUGAAAGCGGGGGAUCGCAAGACCUCGCGCUAUUGGAGCGGCCGAUAUCAGAUUAGCUAGUUGGUGGGGUAAAGGCCUACCAAGGCGACGAUCUGUAGCUGGUCUGAGAGGACGACCAGCCACACUGGGACUGAUACACGGCCCAGACUCCUACGGGAGGCAGCAGUGGGGAAUUUUGGACAAUGGGCGCAAGCCUGAUCCAGCCAUGCCGCGUGUGGGAAGAAGGCCUUCGGGUUGUAAACCACUUUUGUCAGGGAAGAAACGGUUUGUCCUAAUACGGUGAACUAAUGACGGUACCUGAAGAAUAAGCACCGGCUAACUACGUGCCAGCAGCCGCGGUAAUACGUAGGGUGCAAGCGUUAAUCGGAAUUACUGGGCGUAAAGCGUGCGCAGGCGGCUUUGCAAGACAGAUGUGAAAUCCCCGGGCUCAACCUGGGAACUGCAUUUGUGACUGCAUGGCUAGAGUGCGGCAUAGGGGGAUGGAAUUCCGCGUGUAGCAGUGAAAUGCGUAGAUAUGCGGAGGAACACCGAUGGCGAAGGCAAUCCCCUGGGCCUGCACUGACGCUCAUGCACGAAAGCGUGGGGAGCAAACAGGAUUAGAUACCCUGGUAGUCCACGCCCUAAACGAUGUCAACUGGUUG